Non-coding RNA from Lepisosteus oculatus (spotted gar), 826 nucleotides. NCBI's taxonomy places the organism in Eukaryota, Metazoa, Chordata, Actinopteri, Semionotiformes, Lepisosteidae. The record is from RefSeq and is a predicted model, not a curated record.
CCGGAAGUGAAAUCGUGAGCGGAUGGCAGACGCGUUUGCCGCGCCUGUACUGUGAUGACGAAGCAUGAUGGCGACUGAGGUGGCCGAGUUCCUCCGGAGUCAUCAGCCAGCUGCUGCUAUCCCGGUAGUGAAGCAGCACACCUCACGUGGGAAUGGUAACCGGAUAAAAACCAAGGAGCUGCUGGUGUUGCCUUUUAAGUGAUGAUUAAGCCGGAAGCUGUGAAGUCAGGUCACAGAUAUUAUGCCGUGCCUGUGCUGGAGACGGUGACCUCUGACCUCCGGACAAAGCCCAUUGCUCAGCUGACAGAAGAUCCCUUCUGACCAAGAAGGUGAGGUCACGGCCAGUUCUGUCCCAGUCAGUUUGAGCCUGGCUGGACUACAGAUGUGGAGGGGGAAGGGCUGAAGCUCAGAUCUCGCGCCCUGAAUAGAUAUUGCCUUUUGAUCAUCCACAGGGGGAGCUCAAGUGCUGUGUAGAGACUGUUAAAGCUUGAGGGGUGAAGCUAGUUUCGUUCCCACAAGCGUCUCUGAGCAGGUUAAUGUGAAAUCUGUUCCCUUUCAAGUACAUCAAACCAUUGCUUCUGGUUACAGGCUGCUUGGCAGGUGCAUCCUUUUUAAGAUCCUUCCUUUCUUUCACUGGAACAGAGCCCUGCAGGCCAACCACAGGAACAAGUGCACAAGCGCACAAGUGUGAUAUGAUGAAGUAGAUAUUCACAGAGGCAGGGAUCCUAAUGUGUGAAUAUUCCAGGCCCUGGUGAAUCAUUAACCUUUUCUCAGACUUGUCUAUGGGUUAAACAUUUGCAUUUCUAACCACUGAUGACUGCUAUGA